CCUACGGGAGGCAGCAGUAGGGAAUUUUGCUCAAUGGGCGAAAGCCUGACGCAGCAACGCCGCGUGAUCGAGACGCCCUUCGCGGUGUAAAGAUCUGUCAGUGGGGACGAAACUUGACGGUCCCCACAGAGCAAGCACCGGCUAACUCCGUGCCAGCAUCCGCGGUCAUACGGGGGGUGCAAGCGUUGUCCGGAAUCAUUGGGCGUAAAGAGUUCGUAGGCGGCACGUAAAGUCUGGUGUUAAAGGCAGAGGCUAAACUUCUGUACGGCACUGGAUACUUGCGAGCUAGAAUGCGGUAGAGGUAAAGGGAAUUCGUGGUGUAGCGGUGAAAUGCUUAGAUAUCAGGAGGAACAUCGGUGGCGUAAGCGCUUUACCGGGCCGUAAUUGACGCUGAGGAACGAAAGCCAGGGUAGCGAAUGGGAUUAGAUACCCUAGUAGUC
Molecule: ribosomal RNA, 440 nt
Filed under: uncultured bacterium
Lineage: Bacteria
Description: partial 16S ribosomal RNA
Rfam family: Bacterial small subunit ribosomal RNA
Source: RNAcentral